RNAcentral lists this long non-coding RNA (4313 nucleotides) under Sorghum bicolor (sorghum). Its description in RNAcentral is "long non-coding RNA (SBIC_LNC005140)". The record is from RNAcentral. Lineage: Eukaryota; Viridiplantae; Streptophyta; Magnoliopsida; Poales; Poaceae.
GCAGCUUGCAGAUCAGACACUAAGUUUCCCAAAGGGAAUAUUGAAGAACCUCUACGUCCUAGUUGGUACCUUAUACGCUCCAGCAGACUUCGUGGUGAUAGAGACUGAUACUGAUGAGAGGGCACCCAUCAUCCUAGGGAGGCCAUUCCUGAACACCUCGGGAGCCGUCAUCUACGCUAGUGCUGCCAAGAUCAGUUUCUACAUCAAGGGAAGGACGGAGACGUUUUCCUUCAAGAACAAGACUACACAAUAUUAGAGCAAUCCUGACAUGAACCAAGGAAAGGACCAACAGGAGGAACAGGAACAAGCAAAUGUGGACCAAGUCAGCUAUGAUGGUCACUGCAGUUCAAGGAGGUCAAGACCGUCGACUUAAGUCACCGUCCCUGACCAAAAAAGACGACAUAGUCACCUUUCAGCUCCUGUUCGGAACCAUGCCCCUAACAACCAACAUACAUUCAGCUCCAGAUGAUUUUAAAGGUUAUUGACAUGGGAGAAGACAAGUACGAUCCAUCCAUCAUCCUUAGGAGACCGUUCCUCAGCACCGUUAAAGCAAUCAUCUACAUUGGAAUCGGAGAAGUCCACAUGCACUUCCCCUCUGAGAAGGUACGCCGUUGUUUUACUGACCCUAACUAUAUAGUUGAAGACUCUAAGCAGGUCAGGACAAGAAGAGACGACGCAACCGCAACCAGAGGAGGCAAAUCAUCAAGGACGGAUGGGCAGAGUACGAAGGUGGUAAGGUCUGAAGAUAUACAACUUGAAUAGAACUGUUCUGAGGAGACCGUAGUACCUAGUCAGGUGUGGAAAGAGAAGAUAGUUAUACAUGAAGAAGAAGCGCUGCCGGAACCACCGACUACGCCAUCCAGCAAAUCCUAGGACGACUGAGAAAACGGAGAGUCCCGUUCGGAGGACUUAAAAACACCGAACACCUUGCCAAGAGGUAAACUUGGUAAUUAUCCAUUCCCUUUCAAUUAUUUAAAAUAGUUUGCUUAGUUAAUCAGGUUCAUAUCAUCUUGAAAAGAAAAUAAAAAUGUUAAAAAAAUAGUAAGCCCCAUGUGAGUAUGCUCAUGGCAUAAAACCCAUAAGUACAUUCACUAUGGUGGCAUAAAAAUGAAAUAAAUAUAUUCCUGUCCUAUAAAAAUAAAAUUAUAAAAAUAAAUUUAUGAUCCUACUAAUGAGAGUAACAUUUAUUGAGGAGGCUCAACAUGAUAAAGGCUAAAUAUUUAUGCUAACACUUAACCAGUUCCACAAAGCUUUGUUGUCUAUUUGAGCUCCACAAAAUUCAAGGAUCAAAGAAGACUAGCAGACGGAGGACAUCCUAAUCGCUGUCAGGGUGCUGCCGACAUUCAAAUACACCUCCGCUACCUGCUAGCUACAUCACAAGGAAUUACGUCAAAAUCCAGCUUGGGGGAGAGCACUCCCAUUUAUCCAGCUAAGUGUUUCUACUCGCAUUUAUAUUUUACUCAAAUAAUAAAAAGAUGCAUAAUCAUAAAAACCCAAAUAAAGAUUUUGUGCUUAUAUAUAUAUAUAUCUUUGCUUAGUUUGCUAAAUAAAUAAAUAAAUAAAUAAAGUUUGCUAUGAACCCUCAUGAUAAGCUCUCACAUGGAUAUGAUGAGUAGUUGCUCUGCCAUGAUUAGUUCUCAAAAUUGAAAUCUCUCUCAAGUUUAGGCAUGACUGUUAUUAAUUAAGAUUUGCUCUAAACGUGAACUUGUGGGGAGAGUACUUGAUCUAAAGUCUAAGUCGUUAACGGAUACGAUAUGGGAAGGUUGAGCUGCUGUUUAUCUGUUCCUAGAGAUGCUAGAAUUUUGAAGAAUUUUAUCUUUGAAAAUCUUUAAAAUGUUACAUGAUGAGUUCCUGUAUGAUGAGAGUUUAAAUUCCUACCACAGCCAUAUAUACAUGCUUGCUAGACUUUGAACCGUACAUUUACUUUACUGCUUAUGAGCAUUGAGUGUGGUCAAGCUGUGUAGACCCUUAGGAGCUUGUCAUGUGGUUAAGUCAAGAUUCACUUGCACGUUCACUCAUACAUGCUGCUUCUACUCCGAAAGUACGCAUCCACAUAUAUGCACCCAUUUCCAUCUCUAGAAUCACCUAAAAAUAUUCUACUCCUAAUCCGGGAGAGAAUAGCCAAAAACAUUUCUGUUUUCCCCUUUGAAAUUAAUGCUCAAGUUAUCUUGGUUACUACCACUUGCUAUAUUAUUUCAGGAGAUGAGUGCUCUAAAAAAAGAAAAAAAGAGAGAAAAAAAUAAAUACGAGGAAAUAAAAAGGGGCAGGUGCCCGGAACCUCGAAAGAAAAAAGAAGUGAGACGAGAGGUAAAAAUGGACAAGUGUCCGACAGUAGAAUUAGGGGUACAAGAUACCCACCUGAGAGGAAAGAAAAAGAAAAUAUAGAGCAUCUCAUUCUCCUCAAAAAGCUUCAAAAGUGCAAGAAAGGUAUGUAUCCCCUCAAAAGAGCAUAAGUAGAAUUAGACUUUCACCAUUGUUAACACCAUUCAUUCGCCACACAUGCACAUCUUGAUUUGACUUAUUGACUUGUUCUUCUGGAUCCAUGGUUUGACUAUGCAAUAAAUGUCUUGUAAGUAUGUAUUAGCUGUCUCCCACCUAUGACCUCCAGAUAUCAAAACCUUAUUAGAGUAGGGUGAGAGAGAAGGCAAUACCACUAUGCCUCAUACCAAAAAUACCACAUACUCUGAGAGAAGGCAUACACCAUCACUGCCUUGGUAAGGAUCCAGAAAUACCACAAAAGAGAGACUAGAGAGAGUCAUACAAGGAAUCUCUGAGUUUUGUUUGAAAAUCUACAAAAACUCCAGAGCUAUAGUUAAUCGAAGAACAAGAGACAUGGGGCUUGACUUGACCGUUCUAUCUUUUAACUGCUCAAGACACAAGUGACGGUUGCAAGCCCCAUGGUGGAAGGUAAUAUGAGUAAGUUUAAAUCUUAACAGUUUACCUUAACCCAGAGAUGAGAUCUUGUUUGAACGCAUGUGUAUCUUUAAGGCAUAAAACCACUGCAGAAACUCUUGAGUCCAUCUUGCUCAGGGAUGAGCAAAGGUUAAGCUUGGGGGAGCUUGUUGACGGUCCUUAAUGCUCACAUUUAACCAUCAACUAAUCAUGGAAAAGGACUUAUAUGCAACCAACACCUAGACUUAGGGUUUUAUCUGACAGAAUUCCACGAGUUUUGGUGUUUGUCUAUUUCUGCAGGGGGUUAUCAGGAAAUACGGAAGAAAGGCCCACACGUCGGGUUUACAUAGAGAUAUUAACUUGACGCGCAAUUAUCUAGAAGAGUCCAGAAGCCACGGGAGCGAACGGGAGACGUGACGGAGUCGGGCACUGGGCGCCCGCCCUCCCCCUUGGACCAAUCAGGGUGAAGUUCGGGGAUCAUGCUCCACCGACCUAAUACUUCAAGGAAAACCACACGAUCAAUGUCGGUUUGAUCCGAUGGCCUAGAUUCAUCUGAAAAGACUAUAUAAGCAAGGUCCCCUGGCCCCUGGAGAUCAUACCGCUUCUACAAAAUCAAAGCUAGGGUUUCAAUUCUUCAUCCAAGUAGAGAGGAUCCCUCUAGUUCUUCUAGUUCUACCUCUAGUUCAUCUAGAUCUAGUUCUGGUUCAUCUAGUUCUAGUUCAAGUUCCUCUAGUUCUAGUUCUAGUUAGUUCUAGUUGUAAUUUAGAAAAUAGGGAGAGAGAAGAGGAGAGCGGAGGAGGAGCCGGAUCUGUCGGAUCUUUCUCAACAUUGUACUUUUGCAGCAACUGGUUCUUCCUUCAUCGUUCUCCAGGUUCUUCAAUUCACAAUUCCUGAGUUCUUUAAUUACUUUUAUUUACAUUCAAGUUAUUUAUUGGAUUCCCGCUUGCAUCAAGUGCUCUAAUCUUUGAAACAUUAGAGUAGUAAUUAAUAGAUUAGACGUGGUGUUUAGUCUUGCAAUUACCUGGAAUUGCACCCAAUCCUGCGGAUUGUUGUGGUAGCCUUAGGGUAGUGACAGCCCUAACGGUCGACGUAUUCCACCUCGUUCGGAUCGGUGUUUGUAGGACCGUAGUCGGAGCUUCCUAGCCCCCUUCUCAUCUCUUUCUGUGGUUAGUGUUCUGAUGUCCCAAUAUAGAUAAUCUUGAAGUAAUUCUUGAUUCUUAGAUCAACUAGAGAACUCUUAGGAAACUUCCUCUCUUCCCACCAAAAAUAAUUAUAUAGUUAUCCUUGGGCGAUCUUGGAUCUUAAUUAGUACACUCACGUUCCCUGUGGAAAAUCGAUACUCUGGAAUACUCCCGGGUGAAGGCUACAUCGGUAUCCGUGCGCUUGCAGAUUUUUCUGUUUGCGUUUAAAAUACCCAACAU